Molecule: small nucleolar RNA, 105 nt
Organism: Dipodomys ordii (Ord's kangaroo rat)
Lineage: Eukaryota; Metazoa; Chordata; Mammalia; Rodentia; Heteromyidae
Source: Ensembl
AUCCUUUUCCAGUUCAUAAGCGUGAUGAUUGGGUUCUCACGCGCUUGCGUGACAUGUGCCUCCCUCUAAACCUUGUUAUGACGUGGGCACAUUACCCUUCUGACG